RNAcentral lists this ribosomal RNA (879 nucleotides) under uncultured bacterium. RNAcentral describes it as "bacterial SSU rRNA". It matches the Rfam family "Bacterial small subunit ribosomal RNA", at positions 11 to 880 of the family's 1533-position model. The record is from RNAcentral.
GUUUGAUCAUGGCUCAGAAUGAACGUUGGCGGCGUGGAUUAGGCAUGCAAGUCGAGCGAGAAAGGGGUGGCAACACCCCGAGUAAAGCGGCGAACUGGUGAGUAACAGGUGGGUAAUGUGCCCUGAAGUGGGGGAUAACACGCGGAAACGCGUGCUAAUACCGCAUGUGGUCAUCCGGACCCCGGUCUGGAUGAUGAAAGACUUCGGUCGCUUCAGGAUCGGCCCGCCCCCGAUUAGCUAGUUGGUGAGGUCAUGGCUCACCAAGGCGACGAUCGGUAGCUGGUCUGAGAGGAUGGUCAGCCUCACUGGGACUGAGAUACGGCCCAGACUCCUACGGGGGGCAGCAGUCUAGAGGCUUCGGCAAUGGGGGCAACCCUGACCGAGCGACGCCGCGUGUGGGAUUGAAGGCCUUCGGGUCGUAAACCACUGUCAAGAGGGAGGAAUACCCGGAUGGUGAAUUCGGGGGAGACAGUACCUCUGGAGGAAGCCCCGGCUAACUCCGUGCCAGCAGCCGCGGUAAUACGGAGGGGGCAAGCGUUGUUCGGAUUUACUGGGCGUAAAGGGUGUGUAGGCGGUUGCGUAAGUCUGGUGUGAAAUCUUCUCCGCUCAACGGGAAGAGGUCAUUGGAAACUGCGCGACUCGAGUAUGGUAGAGGCAAGCGGAAUUCCUGGUGUAGCGGUGGAAUGUGUAGAUAUCAGGAAGAACACCUGUGGCGAAGGCGGCUUGCUGGGCCAUCACUGACGCUGAUCCACGAAAGCGUGGGGAGCAAACGGGAUUAGAUACCCCGGUAGUCCACGCCUUAAACGGUGCGCACUAGGUGUGGGAGGUAUCGACCCCUCCUGUGCCGCAGCUAACGCAUUAAGUGCGCCGCCUGGGGAG